This is a non-coding RNA of Echinostoma caproni, 82 nucleotides long. Lineage: Eukaryota; Metazoa; Platyhelminthes; Trematoda; Plagiorchiida; Echinostomatidae. The record is from Rfam.
GACCUCGUAGUUCAGCUGGUAGAGCGUGCGCGUACAAAGAGUAGGCGGCGUCCACGUGUGGGUUUGAAUCCCACCGAGGCUA